Penaeus vannamei (Pacific white shrimp) is the source of this 593-nucleotide non-coding RNA. The record is from RefSeq and is a predicted model, not a curated record. Lineage: Eukaryota; Metazoa; Arthropoda; Malacostraca; Decapoda; Penaeidae.
CCAAUGCAGCAGAGGGGGUGACGAGCCUAAUGCAGGUUUCUCGACCGCCAACGCCACCUGGCUGCCGGUGAACGCAAAUUUAACGUCAUCGAACGUAGCGACCCAAGACGAAGCCAAGGUCAGCCAUCUGAACAUCUACCGGCAACUGUCCGAACUCCGGCGCGAGGUCACCUUCGUUCGGGGUGACCUCGCUUUCCCAGGUCACGAGGAGGUCAUCGCGCUAUUUUGAGGAGCUACAGGCGCGCCCCGAGUUACCUGUUAGUGAUUAAUACGUCGGAAUACGAAGUUACCGUCGACCUCCAGCAGGGUACGACCCUUCCUGAGGUAGGGACGGUCGUGUUGCGCUCCGUCACCGACACGUCCGAAGCCACUCUGCCAGGAUCCGACGUUCAGCUGAACAAAGUGACCCUCUGCGGUGGCGGAGGCAUCGUGUUCAAGCUGCCUCCUGUAUAGUGUCACUUCACUGUACUCACGCCACAAUACUCUCAAAAGGCAGUAUUGUUAAGUGUUUUUUUUUUUUUUUGAUGUGGUAACGACUUUCUUAAUAGGCUCAUAUAUGCUGUUUUGUCUUUUAGUUUAAGAAAAGAGAAAUA